GGAUUGUGGUUCAGUGGUAGAGCGCUUGCCUAGCGUAUUCGAGUCCCUGGGUUCAAUCCUCAGCACCA
This 68-nucleotide transfer RNA is filed under the name Marmota monax (woodchuck). Its description in RNAcentral is "tRNA.Ala". The record is from RNAcentral. Lineage: Eukaryota; Metazoa; Chordata; Mammalia; Rodentia; Sciuridae.